AAAAAAUUUUUCAAUUAAUAGUGUAACAUACAUGGUUCAUAUUGCCAGAGCAUCAAUGGCUUCUAGUUGGGCUUUUGUCUGAGGCUUCCAUAAUCAUACCUCAGUCAUGGCAUACGCUUCUUCAUCAACAUGGAAAAUUCCUGCUACAACAGCUAAAAGGGUCUCUGAUUCUACCAUUUCAGGCUAUUUUCUCUUCUUCUCCACCAUUCAUAGCCCUCAACAAUAUAAAAGAUCUCGUUUAACUACUUUCUCAGCUGACCCCUCUUCUUCUUCUUCUUCAAGCUCC
RNAcentral lists this unclassified non-coding RNA (286 nucleotides) under Hevea brasiliensis (rubber tree). The record is from RNAcentral. Lineage: Eukaryota; Viridiplantae; Streptophyta; Magnoliopsida; Malpighiales; Euphorbiaceae.